AUAAUGAUGCAAAUAAUGCUGAUCGGAAUUGUGGUCCGUUAUCCGAUAUUAAAAUUUCUGGGACUCCAAAUAGCAGAAAAAUCAUAGAUUCGACAAACGUUACCACGGUAGUUGUUUUUGCUUCACGAAGUGGUUGAAUAAUCACAAACUUUGAAAAGUGGUCUGUGAUCACCAUCAACACCGUGUUUCCAUUUUUCGAUCUAGGAAAUGGGCCCAUAAAAUCGAUUGAUAUAACUUGCCAAGGCAUGCUCGCUACUUUCUGUCGACCAAUUGGUGGGACACGUGGUGCAGUCGGAUGCUUGGACGUUUUGCACGUGUCGCAACCUUUACAGAAUCUUUUUAUUUCAACGGACAUUCCUGGCCAGUAGUAUCGUUCCUGGAUCUUUUUGAGUGUUUUAGUGUAUCCAAAAUGUGAGUUGCUGUGCUCGUCUUCCAUAAUUUGUAGCCGAUCUGAUCUGGGUGGCACAAAUUUCCAGACAAAGUACGCGUCAGUCGGAUCGUUAGAUGUCACAUAUUUGAAAACGUUUCCCCGUACAACCUUGAAGUCUUUAUACUUCAGAGGAUUUUGGAUAACCACUUUCUUCAAGUUUUCAUGAUCUAAAUCCGCUGUUUAUGUUGUGUUGCUGUAGUUUCAAGGCCCAGCGAACCAAUCUGGCGGAAUUUCCUUCAAUGCUGACUUGAUUUAGCCAUUUCAAUGACUGUGCAUCCGUGACUACCGUAAAAUUGGUGCCUUCCACUGGCUGAAUAUUUCUGUUGAGUCGAAGAAAACUUUUUGGAGAAAUAGGCGAUUGGUCGUCGGGUUCCCUCUUGGACUUGAACCAAUACUGCCCCUGCUGCUACUGUUGAUGCAUCCGACUCGAUAAUGAAAGGAAGAUCGAAAUUUGGAUUUGCUAAAAUAGGCGGCGACGUGAGUAUACUUUUUAUUUCAUUGAAUGCCUUUUCAGCUUCUUCAGUCC
This is a long non-coding RNA of Uranotaenia lowii, 956 nucleotides long. RefSeq lists it as uncharacterized. NCBI's taxonomy places the organism in Eukaryota, Metazoa, Arthropoda, Insecta, Diptera, Culicidae. The transcript is spliced from 3 exons. The record is from RefSeq and is a predicted model, not a curated record.